CCUACGGGCGGCAGCAGUGGGGAAUAUUGCACAAUGGGCGCAAGCCUGAUGCAGCCAUGCCGCGUGUGUGAAGAAGGCCUUCGGGUUGUAAAGCACUUUCAGCGGGGAGGAAGGCGGUGAGGUUAAUAACCUCAUCGAUUGACGUUACCCGCAGAAGAAGCACCGGCUAACUCCGUGCCAGCAGCCGCGGUAAUACGGAGGGUGCAAGCAUUAAUCGGAAUUACUGGGCGUAAAGCGCACGCAGGCGGUCUGUCAAGUCGGAUGUGAAAUCCCCGGGCUCAACCUGGGAACUGCAUUCGAAACUGGCAGGCUAGAGUCUUGUAGAGGGGGGUAGAAUUCCAGGUGUAGCGGUGAAAUGCGUAGAGAUCUGGAGGAAUACCGGUGGCGAAGGCGGCCCCCUGGACAAAGACUGACGCUCAGGUGCGAAAGCGUGGGGAGCAAACAGGAUUAGAUACCCGAGUAGUC
RNAcentral lists this ribosomal RNA (465 nucleotides) under uncultured Klebsiella sp. RNAcentral's name for it is "bacterial SSU rRNA". It matches the Rfam family "Bacterial small subunit ribosomal RNA", at positions 338 to 795 of the family's 1533-position model. Lineage: Bacteria; Pseudomonadati; Pseudomonadota; Gammaproteobacteria; Enterobacterales; Enterobacteriaceae. The record is from RNAcentral.